GAAAAAAUUAAUGGGACCUUUGAGUAUUAGAGAAGCGCGAAGACGACUAUUUAAAGGGAGCAUUUCUCAUAGGGUAACAUCAUUGCUACUUUCACUUUCUUGAGAUAAAAACGAAUACUUGAAGUAUCCUACAUUUUGCCUUCUGGAUUUAUUCGUUUCUCAGAUAUCAUGGGGAAGAGUAAAUGACACGAAUUAAAGGCUAAAUUCAACGUGGAAGAGAUCCCAGACGUUGGCCCUCCCAAGCAUCAAUUAAAGAAACAAAAAAUUGAGAAUAUCAAGCCCAAGAUAGAUGAAGCAGUAAGAAUUGAAGGUGCCAUGAAGGUCUUUGUGUAACCUAAAAAUAACAUCGGCUAGCGACAUAUCGGCAAGAGUCCCAUAAUUGAUCUCGAGAAGGAAACGAGUGUAAAAUCAAAAAACAUAGUGACCUCUGAUGCUUUGGAGCAGAUGGUAUCGAGUUUGCAAGCUUCCAUGGCUUAACUCGGAUUCUCAUCUCCGACUCCCCAAGAAGGAUCUUCUUAAUCCGAGCCAAAAAUCUGGCCAAGGACGCUACAUCAGAGAUAUGAUUCUAAUCAUCAUUUUGAGAGGUUAGAUCAUAUAAGCAUGUCCCUUGAUGUGACAUCUUUUUUGGAAUGCCAAGUUUACUGCUGAAUCGUUCUACAAGGAAGAUCUAGAUUACAUUGCUGAUAAGGCAAUGAUUGAAAAGGUCGGCCCUGUUCAAGGUUUAGAUUCUGUUCAGGUAUUUUUGCAAAGGUCGAUAGCUAUGGUUGACUACUGGAAAAAUAAAUGGGAGAAGAAUACCAUGUAUAUGGCCAAGUUGAAGAUAGAUAAUGCGCAGAUUGGUCAGCUAAAUGCUGAAGUGACUGAGCUAAAAAAGAAAUUGGAGGAGAGUUUAAAGGCUUUUGAUAUAUUAGUAAGAUCCAACAAGUAUUACACGGCCAAAGUCUUCAACUUUUGAAAAAGGUGAGUUUAAUGGAGGGGGAGAAAGAAGCUUGGAACAAGCAACUUGCUGAUUUGGAGAGUAAGGUGAAAGAAUAUGAGGAAAAUACUAAAAAUUUACAAGUUGAAGUUCAAGGAUUGAGCGAGAAGAAUAAAGCGUGUUAGGAGGUGAUCGCGGCUAAUGUGAAGAAGAUUGGUGAUAUAGAGAGCAAAAACAAAGAACUGAGCAAAGAACUCGAGGCCACAGAAUUCCAAGUGAUAAAGAGGAUUUUCAAAGGCAUUACGACAAGUCCUAGUUGUCGCUGCAGGUGUCGAUUUGAAAUAAGUUCAUAUAGAUAAGGAUGUGUUUGAAAGCAAGCUGAUUAAUGAAGACAAUUUAUCCGACGAUACAAGUAGUGACUAGAGUAAAUUAGGGAGGAGCCAAGAAAAUGUACGAGUAAUUUUACUAUUUAGAUGCAAUUGUAAUUGACCAUUUAUGUUAAGA
Cajanus cajan (pigeon pea) is the source of this 1420-nucleotide non-coding RNA. The record is from RefSeq and is a predicted model, not a curated record. Lineage: Eukaryota; Viridiplantae; Streptophyta; Magnoliopsida; Fabales; Fabaceae.